UCGAGCGGACAGAUGGGAGCUUGCUCCCUGAUGUUAGCGGCGGACGGGUGAGUAACACGUGGGUAACCUGCCUGUAAGACUGGGAUAACUCCGGGAAACCGGGGCUAAUACCGGAUGGUUGUUUGAACCGCAUGGUUCAGACAUAAAAGGUGGCUUCGGCUACCACUUACAGAUGGACCCGCGGCGCAUUAGCUAGUUGGUGAGGUAACGGCUCACCAAGGCAACGAUGCGUAGCCGACCUGAGAGGGUGAUCGGCCACACUGGGACUGAGACACGGCCCAGACUCCUACGGGAGGCAGCAGUAGGGAAUCUUCCGCAAUGGACGAAAGUCUGACGGAGCAACGCCGCGUGAGUGAUGAAGGUUUUCGGAUCGUAAAGCUCUGUUGUUAGGGAAGAACAAGUGCCGUUCAAAUAGGGCGGCACCUUGACGGUACCUAACCAGAAAGCCACGGCUAACUACGUGCCAGCAGCCGCGGUAAUACGUAGGUGGCAAGCGUUGUCCGGAAUUAUUGGGCGUAAAGGGCUCGCAGGCGGUUUCUUAAGUCUGAUGUGAAAGCCCCCGGCUCAACCGGGGAGGGUCAUUGGAAACUGGGGAACUUGAGUGCAGAAGAGGAGAGUGGAAUUCCACGUGUAGCGGUGAAAUGCGUAGAGAUGUGGAGGAACACCAGUGGCGAAGGCGACUCUCUGGUCUGUAACUGACGCUGAGGAGCGAAAGCGUGGGGAGCGAACAGGAUUAGAUACCCUGGUAGUCCACGCCGUAAACGAUGAGUGCUAAGUGUUAGGGGUUUCCGCCCCUUAGUGCUGCAGCUAACGCAUUAAGCACUCCGCCUGGGGAGUACGGUCGCAAGACUGAACUCAAGGAAUUGACGGGGGCCCGCACAAGCGGU
RNAcentral lists this ribosomal RNA (887 nucleotides) under Bacillus velezensis. Its description in RNAcentral is "bacterial SSU rRNA". It matches the Rfam family "Bacterial small subunit ribosomal RNA", at positions 62 to 933 of the family's 1533-position model. Lineage: Bacteria; Bacillati; Bacillota; Bacilli; Caryophanales; Bacillaceae. The record is from RNAcentral.